Molecule: ribosomal RNA, 253 nt
Filed under: uncultured bacterium
Lineage: Bacteria
Description: partial 16S ribosomal RNA
Rfam family: Bacterial small subunit ribosomal RNA
Source: RNAcentral
UACGGAGGGUGCAAGCGUUAAUCGGAAUUACUGGGCGUAAAGCGUGCGCAGGCGGUUUGUUAAGUCUGCUGUGAAAUCCCCGAGCUCAACUUGGGAAUUGCAGUGGAUACUGGCAAGCUGGAGUACGGUAGAGGAAGGUGGAAUUCCCGGUGUAGCAGUGAAAUGCGUAGAGAUCGGGAGGAACACCAGUGGCGAAGGCGGCCUUCUGGACCAAUACUGACGCUCAUGCACGAAAGCGUGGGGAGCAAACAGG